UUUCCGAAAGCUAAUUAGUGUUAAAUUCUUACUUUAAUGAUUGGGAUUGUUUUCUCUCGGUUUA
This 64-nucleotide transfer RNA is filed under the name Girardia tigrina. RNAcentral's name for it is "tRNA-Lys". Lineage: Eukaryota; Metazoa; Platyhelminthes; Tricladida; Dugesiidae. The record is from RNAcentral. RNAcentral also lists the same sequence under 1 other name.